CAGCCACCGCGAUAAAACACAGGAUGGAAACUGCUUGCCCUUUGGGCAUGGUCCAAACACAGGGAAUAUUUGGCUUUAUUUCUACAGCAUGUGCUGCUGCUGCUAUUUGUGUAGCUGGCUGCCUGAAAAGAGAGGGCACAACGUAGCUUGUGGGGCUCUGCUGAGCAGUAUCCUGGUCUUUCAGGAGGAAUUUGGCUCAUUCUGUCCCUGCUAGGGAUCUUCUGCGUGAAGAUUGUUCAGUAUUGCCUUCAAAUCAGGCAGUACCUGCCAGGGCUAUCCCCUGGAAUUUCUUACUGCCAAAUCCGCCAACAGAAGAGGCAUAUUCACAUCAGUAGAAAAAGAAAAUCAGGAGAAUUAAACCAAGAAAUACAGACUGAAACGCGUUACAAGCCUUCCCCAAGCAGUUUUCAGACUGAACACAGAACACGUUACCAGCGCCGUUUCUCACUCCAUGUUCACGGUGCCUUUCUGUCCCCUGGUGAUGAGCCAAGGCACAGGAAAUCCAGCUAGCUGCUGUGUCCCACACGGUCCCUCCCCAGAUCAUUCCUCCCAGGCAGACUGGGAAUCACCUUGAUGCUGGGAUUGUUACUGUUUUCCUUGUGGUUGGGGCCUUUUAUACCCUUUCAUUGCUAGUUCUGUUCAACUGCGAAAAUGGUAAGACUCAAGCAAUUGUACUGUUACUCUUUUUUUGGACUGCUCUCUUGCUCCUGGGCUGUUCCUCAUUUAUUUCUUUGGACUAUAUCCAACAUUCAA
Molecule: long non-coding RNA, 753 nt
Organism: Pygoscelis adeliae (Adelie penguin)
Lineage: Eukaryota; Metazoa; Chordata; Aves; Sphenisciformes; Spheniscidae
Exons: 3
Source: RefSeq, a predicted model, not a curated record